This 493-nucleotide long non-coding RNA is filed under the name Pongo abelii (Sumatran orangutan). Its description in RNAcentral is "lincRNA". Lineage: Eukaryota; Metazoa; Chordata; Mammalia; Primates; Hominidae. The record is from RNAcentral.
GCAGAGGCGCGGAAGGAGUCAUGGGGCGCGUACGCCAGGGAAGAAUACAAGGUGUGGAUUAAUGAGUACGAUCACUCCAAGCCCAUCCAGGGGCAGCAGAAGAAGCCCUUUGAGGAGCACUGGAGGAAGCACACCCUGUCCUAUGUGGACGUCAGCACUGGGAAGUGCACAGCCAGAGAACAACACAUCACACACAGGAAACAGUUGUGCUCAUGUGAUGGGGGCCUCAGCACUAGGAAGGAGUGGACUAUUGGCGCAUGUAGCAGCUUGAAUAAAUCUGAAAGUCACUACACUGCGUAAGAGAAGCCAAAUAAAAAAGUUCAUGCUGUGUACAGAGGGUGUUGAGAAUGCCUCCUACGUGACGGAAAGCAGAUCCGUGGUUCCCUGCAGACCGGCAGGAGCAGAUUCCAAAGGCACAGGAAGAAGCUUGCAGCUUCUCAGAUGACCAAGAUGGUGCUGCCGAUGGUGUUGAGGACGGAGAACCCACCAAGCC